Molecule: ribosomal RNA, 311 nt
Filed under: Clostridioides difficile
Lineage: Bacteria; Bacillati; Bacillota; Clostridia; Peptostreptococcales; Peptostreptococcaceae
Description: bacterial SSU rRNA
Rfam family: Bacterial small subunit ribosomal RNA
Source: RNAcentral
CACUCUAGAGAGACUGCCAGGGAUAACCUGGAGGAAGGUGGGGAUGACGUCAAAUCAUCAUGCCCCUUAUGCUUAGGGCUACACACGUGCUACAAUGGGUAGUACAGAGGGUUGCCAAGCCGUAAGGUGGAGCUAAUCCCUUAAAGCUACUCUCAGUUCGGAUUGUAGGCUGAAACUCGCCUACAUGAAGCUGGAGUUACUAGUAAUCGCAGAUCAGAAUGCUGCGGUGAAUGCGUUCCCGGGUCUUGUACACACCGCCCGUCACACCACGGGAGUUGGAGACGCCCGAAGCCGAUUAUCUAACCUUUUGG